UACGGAGGGUGCAAGCGUUGUUCGGACUUAUUGGGCGUAAAGCGCGUGUAGGUGGUCGUGUAAGUCAGAUGUGAAAGCCUUCUGCUUAACAGAAGAAGUGCAUUUGAAACUGCUCGGCUAGAGUACGGGAGAGGAGAGUGGAAUUCCCGGUGUAGAGGUGAAAUUCGUAGAUAUCGGGAGGAACACCAGUGGCGAAGGCGGCUCUCUGGUCCGAUACUGACGCUGAGACGCGAAAGCGUGGGGAGCAAACAGG
Molecule: ribosomal RNA, 253 nt
Filed under: uncultured bacterium
Lineage: Bacteria
Description: partial 16S ribosomal RNA
Rfam family: Bacterial small subunit ribosomal RNA
Source: RNAcentral